ACCAGCUCUUCACAAUUAUUAGACAGGUUGGACAUGGAAGGCAGUUGUUGCAUGUUUUGUCUACUGUUGGUAGUAUUGGAAAACCAAGAACAUCCCAAAUGUGUUGGUCGGUGCGCAUGGAUCCAAACGUCUUAUGCUUGUUCAAUGCUCUGACGCUGUUAUCUUCUGACCAGAAGCCCCUCUCUCUCUCUCUCUUUCUCCAACUAGAAAUGUAAUGGUCAUUGUGAUAAAAAGCUGGGAUGCACUUCAUAACAAAAGAAUUUUUCGAAUGAACCUUGAUUUUGUGAAAUCCAGCUGUGAAGUGGACUGCUGUUUUUACCUUUGGUUCUGCAAGCCAGGCACAUGGAUACGUUUGAACACGAGAUAAAAUCUGUUUUAUUGGGAAAAAGGUUUACAUUUGUCAUGGUACUUGGAACAAAAAAAUUGCAAGACACUCCUGUUUCUCAGUAGGUAAGCUGAAUUUGAAAAUGAAUGGAAAAACACACCUUCAAUUGUGUUUAUAUGCCCAGAACAAACAUAUUGUAAGCUCAAAACCACAUCAUUGCUGAAGAAUAAUAGCCUGAUACAGAAUAACUCACAUAGAAAAAGAUAUAAAACAUGAAUGCCAUAAACAGAGAAAUCAGUAAGCAGAUGCACUAGAGAGGAGGGGAAUGUUAAAAGACUAUGGAGAUUAUCAGUUUGCAUAUGGAGAAACAGGAAGUGAGAGCACCCUCAACCGGAGGGUUCAGUUGACAUAGUCCAGUCAGCAAGUGUUCGGUUUUCUCUUUCUUUCUGCUCUUUUGCUGCAUCUUUCCCCUCUCCCUCCCCCUCCCCCUCCCCCUCCCCCUCCCCCCCUUUUCUUUCUAUUUGUUUUACCGCUCAUAGUUUCUACUUUAGCCUUUCCUCUAUUCUUCUCCCUUGCCAGUCCAUAUCUCUCUCUCCUUUAUCGCAACCCAUCCCUUUUCUCUCCUGCUCUUUUCCUUCUUUUUCCACUCUUUUUUCCUUUUAUAUUCCAAUCUUUCCUUCCUCGUCACGCCUCUUCGUUGUACUCUAGUCUCGUUAUACAGCUUCUAUUGAUAAAAGUUCACUUUUCAAGAAAAGAAAAGGUGUUAAGAUGCAUCAGAUAUAGUUCUUUGAAUGCAUCACAUGGAAGCCUAUUCAAUUGGAACAAUAAAAUUUGGUUAAUGCAGAAAAGAUUUGUCAUGAAAUCCCAUUACGAUAUAAAUCACUCCAAAUAAUGAUACAAGCAGCUGAUAUUGGAGGCAUUUCAAACAUUCG
Molecule: long non-coding RNA, 1257 nt
Filed under: Amborella trichopoda
Lineage: Eukaryota; Viridiplantae; Streptophyta; Magnoliopsida; Amborellales; Amborellaceae
Description: long non-coding RNA (ATRI_LNC003257)
Source: RNAcentral